UAAAGGUUUGCUACUUCAUCCUCGUGUUAUACUUUGAUUUAUGCUUUGGAGAUGGAAAGAUUAAUUGCUAGAAUGUGAUGAAGUAGAAAAUAAAGAGGUAUUUUGAGCUAAAAUGUGAGGGAGAUUGAUGUGUCAUAUAUAGUAUGUAUUCUUGCAGUGGUUUAAGAAUGAUGCUAUCUUGUCUAGACGGUUUAUCUUACAAAUUCAAUAAGGUUUUUCAAAUCCAUACUUGUUGAACUUGCAUAAGGUUUUUCAAAUCCAUACUUGUUGAACUUGCAUACCGUGUUCAUCUCUGCGAGGAUGUUCUCCGCCGAGCAGCAACGUAUGUCAAGAAGGAGGUUCGAUUCUAUGAGAAAGAGUGGAUACGGACAUCGUGACCGUGUCCCCUUUUCUGUAGCAUCGAACCUC
RNAcentral lists this long non-coding RNA (408 nucleotides) under Setaria viridis. RNAcentral's name for it is "long non-coding RNA (SVIR_LNC010793)". Lineage: Eukaryota; Viridiplantae; Streptophyta; Magnoliopsida; Poales; Poaceae. The record is from RNAcentral.